RNAcentral lists this ribosomal RNA (2894 nucleotides) under Pseudomonas sp. UC 17F4. Its description in RNAcentral is "bacterial LSU rRNA". It matches the Rfam family "Bacterial large subunit ribosomal RNA". The record is from RNAcentral. Lineage: Bacteria; Pseudomonadati; Pseudomonadota; Gammaproteobacteria; Pseudomonadales; Pseudomonadaceae.
AUAUGGUCAAGUGAAGAAGCGCAUACGGUGGAUGCCUUGGCAGUCAGAGGCGAUGAAAGACGUGGUAGCCUGCGAUAAGCUUCGGGGAGUCGGCAAACAGACUUUGAUCCGGAGAUCUCUGAAUGGGGGAACCCACUCAGCAUAAGCUGAGUAUCUUGUACUGAAUACAUAGGUGCAAGAGGCGAACCAGGGGAACUGAAACAUCUAAGUACCCUGAGGAAAAGAAAUCAACCGAGAUUCCCUUAGUAGUGGCGAGCGAACGGGGACUAGCCCUUAAGUGGCUUUGAGAUUAGCGGAACGCUCUGGAAAGUGCGGCCAUAGUGGGUGAUAGCCCUGUACGCGAAAAUCUCUUAGUCAUGAAAUCGAGUAGGACGGAGCACGAGAAACUUUGUCUGAAUAUGGGGGGACCAUCCUCCAAGGCUAAAUACUACUGACUGACCGAUAGUGAACCAGUACCGUGAGGGAAAGGCGAAAAGAACCCCGGAGAGGGGAGUGAAAUAGAUCCUGAAACCGUAUGCGUACAAGCAGUGGGAGCCUACUUGUUAGGUGACUGCGUACCUUUUGUAUAAUGGGUCAGCGACUUAUAUUCAGUGGCGAGCUUAACCGAAUAGGGGAGGCGUAGCGAAAGCGAGUCUUAAUAGGGCGUUUAGUCGCUGGGUAUAGACCCGAAACCGGGCGAUCUAUCCAUGGGCAGGUUGAAGGUUAGGUAACACUGACUGGAGGACCGAACCGACUACCGUUGAAAAGUUAGCGGAUGACCUGUGGAUCGGAGUGAAAGGCUAAUCAAGCUCGGAGAUAGCUGGUUCUCCUCGAAAGCUAUUUAGGUAGCGCCUCAUGUAUCACUGUAGGGGGUAGAGCACUGUUUCGGCUAGGGGGUCAUCCCGACUUACCAAACCGAUGCAAACUCCGAAUACCUACAAGUGCCGAGCAUGGGAGACACACGGCGGGUGCUAACGUCCGUCGUGAAAAGGGAAACAACCCAGACCGUCAGCUAAGGUCCCAAAGUUAUGGUUAAGUGGGAAACGAUGUGGGAAGGCUUAGACAGCUAGGAGGUUGGCUUAGAAGCAGCCACCCUUUAAAGAAAGCGUAAUAGCUCACUAGUCGAGUCGGCCUGCGCGGAAGAUGUAACGGGGCUCAAACCAUACACCGAAGCUACGGGUAUCACUUAGGUGAUGCGGUAGAGGAGCGUUCUGUAAGCCUGUGAAGGUGAGUUGAGAAGCUUGCUGGAGGUAUCAGAAGUGCGAAUGCUGACAUGAGUAACGACAAUGGGAGUGAAAAACUCCCACGCCGAAAGACCAAGGUUUCCUGCGCAACGUUAAUCGACGCAGGGUUAGUCGGUCCCUAAGGCGAGGCUGAAAAGCGUAGUCGAUGGAAAACAGGUUAAUAUUCCUGUACUUCUGGUUAUUGCGAUGGAGGGACGGAGAAGGCUAGGCCAGCUUGGCGUUGGUUGUCCAAGUUUAAGGUGGUAGGCUGAGAUCUUAGGUAAAUCCGGGAUCUUAAGGCCGAGAGCUGAUGACGAGUUGCCAUUAGGCGACGAAGUGGUUGAUGCCAUGCUUCCAAGAAAAGCUUCUAAGCUUCAGAUAACCAGGAACCGUACCCCAAACCGACACAGGUGGUUGGGUAGAGAAUACCAAGGCGCUUGAGAGAACUCGGGUGAAGGAACUAGGCAAAAUGGCACCGUAACUUCGGGAGAAGGUGCGCCGGUGAGGGUGAAGGACUUGCUCCGUAAGCCCAUGCCGGUCGAAGAUACCAGGCCGCUGCGACUGUUUAUUAAAAACACAGCACUCUGCAAACACGAAAGUGGACGUAUAGGGUGUGACGCCUGCCCGGUGCCGGAAGGUUAAUUGAUGGGGUUAGCUAACGCGAAGCUCUUGAUCGAAGCCCCGGUAAACGGCGGCCGUAACUAUAACGGUCCUAAGGUAGCGAAAUUCCUUGUCGGGUAAGUUCCGACCUGCACGAAUGGCGUAACGAUGGCGGCGCUGUCUCCACCCGAGACUCAGUGAAAUUGAAAUCGCUGUGAAGAUGCAGUGUAUCCGCGGCUAGACGGAAAGACCCCGUGAACCUUUACUAUAGCUUUGCACUGGACUUUGAAUUUGCUUGUGUAGGAUAGGUGGGAGGCUUUGAAGCGUGGACGCCAGUUCGCGUGGAGCCAUCCUUGAAAUACCACCCUGGCAACUUUGAGGUUCUAACUCAGGUCCGUUAUCCGGAUCGAGGACAGUGUAUGGUGGGUAGUUUGACUGGGGCGGUCUCCUCCUAAAGAGUAACGGAGGAGUACGAAGGUGCGCUCAGACCGGUCGGAAAUCGGUCGUAGAGUAUAAAGGCAAAAGCGCGCUUGACUGCGAGACAGACACGUCGAGCAGGUACGAAAGUAGGUCUUAGUGAUCCGGUGGUUCUGUAUGGAAGGGCCAUCGCUCAACGGAUAAAAGGUACUCCGGGGAUAACAGGCUGAUACCGCCCAAGAGUUCAUAUCGACGGCGGUGUUUGGCACCUCGAUGUCGGCUCAUCACAUCCUGGGGCUGAAGCCGGUCCCAAGGGUAUGGCUGUUCGCCAUUUAAAGUGGUACGCGAGCUGGGUUUAGAACGUCGUGAGACAGUUCGGUCCCUAUCUGCCGUGGACGUUUGAGAUUUGAGAGGGGCUGCUCCUAGUACGAGAGGACCGGAGUGGACGAACCUCUGGUGUUCCGGUUGUCACGCCAGUGGCAUUGCCGGGUAGCUAUGUUCGGAAGAGAUAACCGCUGAAAGCAUCUAAGCGGGAAACUUGCCUCAAGAUGAGAUCUCACUGGAGCCUUGAGCUCCCUGAAGGGCCGUCGAAGACUACGACGUUGAUAGGUUGGGUGUGUAAGCGCUGUGAGGCGUUGAGCUAACCAAUACUAAUUGCCCGUGAGGCUUGACCAU